GAUGAACGCUGGCGGCGUGCCUAAUACAUGCAAGUCGAGCGAACAGAUGAGGAGCUUGCUCCUCUGACGUUAGCGGCGGACGGGUGAGUAACACGUGGAUAACCUACCUAUAAGACUGGGAUCACUUCGGGAAACCGGAGCUAAUCCCGGAUAAUAUAUUGAACCGCAUGGUUCAAUAGUGAAAGACGGUUUUGCUGUCACUUAUAGAUGGAUCCGCGCCGCAUUAGCUAGUUGGUAAGGUAACGGCUUACCACGGCAACGAUGCGUAGCCGACCGGAGAGGGUGAUCGGCCACACGAGAACGUAGACACGGUCCAGACUCCUACGGGAGGCAGCAGUAGGGAAUCUGCCGCAAUGGUCGAAAGCCUGACGGAGCAACGCCGCGUGAGUGAUGAAGGUCUUCGGAUCGGAAAACUCUGUUAUUAGGGAAGAACAAAUGUGUAAGUAACUAUGCACGUCUUGACGGUACCGAAUCAGAAAGCCACGGCUAACUACGUG
Molecule: ribosomal RNA, 497 nt
Filed under: uncultured bacterium
Lineage: Bacteria
Description: partial 16S ribosomal RNA
Rfam family: Bacterial small subunit ribosomal RNA
Source: RNAcentral